This 433-nucleotide long non-coding RNA is filed under the name Malus domestica (apple). RNAcentral describes it as "long non-coding RNA (MDOM_LNC019005)". The record is from RNAcentral. Lineage: Eukaryota; Viridiplantae; Streptophyta; Magnoliopsida; Rosales; Rosaceae.
ACCUAAGCCUAAAUAUAAUUGAGCUAUGUGAAAGGCGUUUCAAAUUUGUUUGAACCAUGGGAAUGUGUAGAUUAGAUUUUGGUUGUAAUUUGAUUUGAUCAAAUGUUGUAAAAAGGGCAUAAGUCCUUCUUUACUUUAAGGUAAUUUGUUUUAUGCAAAUGUUGUAAUGAGCAUAAGCUCAUCCUUUACUUUGAAGUAUUUCUUUCUUGCUUUAUAUGAUAUGCAUGAAAAUGAAGUAAUUGGGUCCAACGCCCCUAUGACAACACGCCUUAAUGUGAUUAAACGCGUAACUAAAAUCAAUCUCCAUCCCUAGACCGAGAUUCAACACAAGGCUCGUGUUGAAUCUAAACAAAGGUUCAUAGUCAUCCUAAGGCCCUAAGGCAACUAUAUAGUCCAUCAAAUGAAUGCAAACCUUAUGUUAGUAGUAACAUAU